RNAcentral lists this transfer RNA (60 nucleotides) under Dipodomys ordii (Ord's kangaroo rat). It matches the Rfam family "tRNA", at positions 7 to 64 of the family's 71-position model. From Rfam's summary of the family: Transfer RNA (tRNA) molecules are approximately 80 nucleotides in length. Their secondary structure includes four short double-helical elements and three loops (D, anti-codon, and T loops). Lineage: Eukaryota; Metazoa; Chordata; Mammalia; Rodentia; Heteromyidae. The record is from Rfam by way of RNAcentral.
GUGGCUCAGUGGUAGAGUGCUUGCCUUGCAUGCAAGAGGCCCUGGGUUUGAUUCCGCAGC